AACGAACGCUGGCGGCAUGCCUAACACAUGCAAGUCGAACGAGACCUUCGGGUCUAGUGGCGCACGGGUGCGUAACGCGUGGGAAUCUGUCCUUCGGUUGGGAAUAACUGAGAGAAAUUUCAGCUAAUACCUUAUAAUGUCUUCGGACCAAAGAUUUAUCGCCGAGGGAUGAGCCCGCGUAGGAUUAGGUAGUUGGUGGGGUAAUGGCCUACCAAGCCGACGAUCCUUAGCUGGUCUGAGAGGAUGAUCAGCCACACUGGGACUGAGACACGGCCCAGACUCCUACGGGAGGCAGCAGUGGGGAAUAUUGGACAAUGGGCGAAAGCCUGAUCCAGCAAUGCCGCGUGAGUGAUGAAGGCCUUAGGGUUGUAAAGCUCUUUUACCCGGGAUGAUAAUGACAGUACCGGGAGAAUAAGCUCCGGCUAACUCCGUG
This 433-nucleotide ribosomal RNA is filed under the name uncultured bacterium. RNAcentral's name for it is "partial 16S ribosomal RNA". It matches the Rfam family "Bacterial small subunit ribosomal RNA", at positions 29 to 507 of the family's 1533-position model. The record is from RNAcentral.